GGGGAUAUAGCUCAGCAGCACAGCACCUGCCUGGCAAGCUCAAGCUCCCAAGUUCGAUUCCUGGUACCCCA
Molecule: transfer RNA, 71 nt
Filed under: Cavia porcellus (domestic guinea pig)
Lineage: Eukaryota; Metazoa; Chordata; Mammalia; Rodentia; Caviidae
Rfam family: tRNA
About the family: Transfer RNA (tRNA) molecules are approximately 80 nucleotides in length.
Source: Rfam by way of RNAcentral